Molecule: ribosomal RNA, 18 nt
Filed under: Spadicocephala fusca
Lineage: Eukaryota; Fungi; Ascomycota; Sordariomycetes; Chaetosphaeriales; Chaetosphaeriaceae
Description: Phialocephala fusca partial 28S ribosomal RNA
Source: RNAcentral
UUGACCUCGGAUCAGCUA